GAGGGUAUAGCUCAGUGGUAGAGCACAUGCCUGGCAUGCACAAGGUCCUGGGCUCAAUCCCCAGUACCUCCA
RNAcentral lists this transfer RNA (72 nucleotides) under Camelus bactrianus (Bactrian camel). It matches the Rfam family "tRNA". From Rfam's summary of the family: Transfer RNA (tRNA) molecules are approximately 80 nucleotides in length. Their secondary structure includes four short double-helical elements and three loops (D, anti-codon, and T loops). Further hydrogen bonds mediate the characteristic L-shaped molecular structure. tRNAs have two regions of fundamental functional importance: the anti-codon, which is responsible for specific mRNA codon recognition, and the 3' end, to which the tRNAs corresponding amino acid is attached (by aminoacyl-tRNA synthetases). tRNAs cope with the degeneracy of the genetic code in two manners: having more than one tRNA (with a specific anti-codon) for a particular amino acid; and 'wobble' base-pairing, i.e. permitting non-standard base-pairing at the 3rd anti-codon position. Lineage: Eukaryota; Metazoa; Chordata; Mammalia; Artiodactyla; Camelidae. The record is from Rfam by way of RNAcentral. RNAcentral also lists the same sequence under 1 other name.